UAGGGAAUCUUCCGCAAUGGACGAAAGUCUGACGGAGCAACGCCGCGUGAGUGAUGAAGGUUUUCGGAUCGUAAAACUCUGUUGUUAGGGAAGAACAAGUAUCGGAGUAACUGCCGGUACCUUGACGGUACCUAACCAGAAAGCCACGGCUAACUACGUGCCAGCAGCCGCGGUAAUACGUAGGUGGCAAGCGUUGUCCGGAAUUAUUGGGCGUAAGCGCGCGCAGGUGGUUCUUUAAGUCUGAUGUGAAAGCCCACGGCUCAACCGUGGAGGGUCAUUGGAAACUGGGGAACUUGAGUGCAGAAGAGGAAAGUGGAAUUCCAAGUGUAGCGGUGAAAUGCGUAGAGAUUUGGAGGAACACCAGUGGCGAAGGCGACUUUCUGGUCUGUAACUGACACUGAGGCGCGAAAGCGUGGGGAGCGAACAGG
Molecule: ribosomal RNA, 428 nt
Filed under: Bacillota bacterium
Lineage: Bacteria; Bacillati; Bacillota
Description: Firmicutes bacterium partial 16S ribosomal RNA
Rfam family: Bacterial small subunit ribosomal RNA
Source: RNAcentral